GCUGUUAAUUGGCCUUGUUUCUAUCUCAUAACAAUCGGUUGCUGGUAAAUGAGGGUACCAGUUGAGGGGAUGGGAGUCAAUUAUAUUGUUUUAGGCAUUUGUUACAAGGAGAAAACCACCUAAGACCUUAGGUGGCCAAAUAUGUAACCUGGGUCCUUCUCAAUAUUUCUGGAAGCGAUGAGCAAUGAUUGCAGUAGCAGUUUGGUUUGUGUUUGUUUAUUUGCUUGUAAUCUUUGCUGUUGCUGUUGCUUCUGCACCAGGAAUGGUGCAUUGGUGCAAGAUGGCAGAGUCUGCUUUAUAAGGCAGAAACUUUGUUAUUUAAUAUAUUAGAGGCUUUGGCCCUUAGGUUUAUGGACAGGAGUAAUUAAUGACUUUGUUCCUUUCUUGGUUGGAAAGCCUUUUUCAAAUUGGUAAAUACUUAAAACACCAAUAACAACAAAAACUCAGUGGCAAGUUGUUGGCAAUGGACAGAGAAACUUAGGCACACAGGAACUCUAUCAAGACUAACUUAGCUGAUUUAGCAGAAGUGAACAGAACUGAAAUGUAAAUCUGUUCAGGGUGGGAUGCCAAUGAGAAGUAAGCCAAUUCUUGAGUUGAAAGAUGGGACAUAAAAUUGUUUAUAUGGUAUGAUUGCAAUGUUGCUUCACAUGCAUGUUCUUUCUUGCUUACAUACACACAACAUAAAUCAUAAAUAUACAUAUAUUGCAGACACAACACUAAAAGAAACACAUCAGAAUGUAAAGACCAGUUACUUCUGGGGAGUUGGAUUCUGAGUGAUUUUGUUUUCUUUAUUCUCUGUUCUCCCAUUUUCCUUGCCAAGCUUCCGCAUUCGGUCUCUUCAUAUCCAGCUCUGCUACCAAAGAAACUCUGAUGCUUCUCCAGCCCAAGUCAGCCAAGUCCUGAAGUAUCCAAGUUAACCUCUGACUUCCUGGGCUCAGAAAUGUUUUGUUGCUUCUGUUUGUUCUCCGUCCCUGGGUCCACGCUCACGGGAUUAAAUUGUUCUUCACAUUAAACUCCACUUAAUAGUUUCCUUGUCUAGCACUCAGGUAGUUUUAAAACGUGGCCAAAAAUUAUUUGACACUACUCCUAGCGAGAGAUGGGGUCUUUGUCCCCUCCCCUUGAAUAUGGGUAGUCUUGUGAUUGUGAAUGUUUCAACCAGGUGAGUGUGGUGGGAAUGACACUGUGUGGCUUAUGAAGCUGGGAAUGAGCCUUCAGAUGAUUCCAGCUCUUUCAGUUUUCUCUCAGCCUUUGAAUCUUCCUGGCUGACACCACAGACAAGGAGAAGCAGGGUGAAGCUGUUUUUACUGUGCAUUUUCUGAAUUUCUGAGGCCAGAAUCUGUGAGCUUAAUAAAAUGGUGGUUGUAAGUGGCACUGCCAGAUUUUGGGGUGAUUUGUUACACAGCAAUUGUAACCAGAACAGGAAAUUUGAAUCCAACUUGCGCCAGACUUCUUACAAAGGACUGAAGUCAGCUGUUUUCUUUCUAUGGCCCAGGAGCUAAAUGCAACUAUUCUCCCAUGCUAACAUCAUGCUCUUCCCAAAUGUUCCAUUAACUCAAGCAGCCUGAAAGAGAAACUCUGCUUCCUAUCACAAAUAUGUCCGAGGAGCCCCUAUACAUAGUUAGAGAUUUCUCUUAAUAAGUCAUAUCCUUCCCUUAGUAAGUCAUAUCCUUCACCUGUGAAACUUCUGGAUCCUGGGAUUAAAUGACUCAAUUUGCUUUGCUUUCCACGUUCUAGAAAUUGUCUCACUUCCUAAAAAGCAUGAAUGAAGUUGUCUUCUGGUCCAAUUUGGAUUUAGCUGAAGAUUCUAACCUGAACGUUUUCUUCAGUCAGGACCUAAGGACACAUUUACCCUGAAUGUCAGAUCCCAGAAGAGAGGACAAAGUAAAGGUAUAGAGAACAUGAAUAUAAAUUGAAAGCACAGGAGAAAAUCAGAACUAAAAGGACAUUUUAAAAAACAAAGCAAAACCGUCAUUCUUGGUCAUUUACUGUGUGCCAUUAUGUUACAUGUAUUAUGUCAUCUCAACAUAACAACAGUUCUAAUGAUGUAGAUAUUUUAUUAUACCCAUGAUAAAUGGAGGCAUGUAUCUUUCCUAAGGUGGGCAGAGCUUAUAGUUGUACAUAUUAGUCUGACACCAGAUCCUGCUCUCUUAAUCACUAGGCCCUACAGUCUGGAAACAAUCAACAUUAUUUUUAUACUAAUAUUAAAGUGUUAUUUGCCUUUUUUCACUUUCAUUAUCUCAUGAGUAUGUGGGGGAAUUUUCCAAUGUAUAUUUGGAAGCUCUGUAUAACUAAGUGAGCCAAUAUAUUGGAAACAUUUGAUGCACAAAGUUACAAAAUCAUACAUGGGUAAAAGAUCCAUUCAAAUAGCAAGAUACAUGAAUUGAUUUUAAUUUUUAAUAUAACAGAAUACCAAACAAAGAUUUCACAUC
RNAcentral lists this long non-coding RNA (2429 nucleotides) under Homo sapiens (human). RNAcentral describes it as "HSALNT0315121". The record is from RNAcentral. Lineage: Eukaryota; Metazoa; Chordata; Mammalia; Primates; Hominidae.